RNAcentral lists this ribosomal RNA (492 nucleotides) under uncultured bacterium. RNAcentral describes it as "partial 16S ribosomal RNA". It matches the Rfam family "Bacterial small subunit ribosomal RNA", at positions 29 to 507 of the family's 1533-position model. The record is from RNAcentral.
AGUGAACGCUGGCGGUAGGCCUAACACAUGCAAGUCGAACGGCAGCACAGUAAGAGCUUGCUCUUACGGGUGGCGAGUGGCGGACGGGUGAGGAAUACAUCGGAAUCUACUUUUUCGUGGGGGAUAACGUAGGGAAACUUACGCUAAUACCGCAUACGACCUACGGGUGAAAGCAGGGGAUCUUCGGACCUUGCGCGAUUGAAUGAGCCGAUGUCGGAUUAGCUAGUUGGCGGGGUAAAGGCCCACCAAGGCGACGAUCCGUAGCUGGUCUGAGAGGAUGAUCAGCCACACUGGAAUUGAGACACGGUCCAGACUCCUACGGGAGGCAGCAGUGGGGAAUAUUGGACAAUGGGCGCAAGCCUGAUCCAGCCAUACCGCGUGGGUGAAGAAGGCCUUCGGGUUGUAAAGCCCUUCUGUUGGGAAGGAAAAGCAGCAGGUUAAUACCCCGCUGUUCUGACGGUACCCAAAGAAUAAGCACCGGCUAACUUCGUG